RNAcentral lists this ribosomal RNA (253 nucleotides) under uncultured bacterium. RNAcentral's name for it is "partial 16S ribosomal RNA". It matches the Rfam family "Bacterial small subunit ribosomal RNA", at positions 524 to 776 of the family's 1533-position model. The record is from RNAcentral.
UACGUAGGGUGCAAGCGUUGUCCGGAAUUAUUGGGCGUAAAGAGCUUGUAGGUGGCUCGUUGCGUCGGGAGUGAAAACCUGCGGCUUAACCGCAGGCCUGCUUCCGAUACGGGCGAGCUAGAGUUCGGCAGGGGAGACUGGAAUUCCUGGUGUAGCGGUGGAAUGCGCAGAUAUCAGGAGGAACACCGGUGGCGAAGGCGGGUCUCUGGGCAGUAACUGACGCUGAGGAGCGAAAGCGUGGGGAGCGAACAGG